RNAcentral lists this unclassified non-coding RNA (329 nucleotides) under soil metagenome. Its description in RNAcentral is "partial contains 5.8S ribosomal RNA, internal transcribed spacer 2, and large subunit ribosomal RNA". The stretch from base 1 to 120 matches the Rfam family "5.8S ribosomal RNA", at positions 35 to 154 of the family's 154-position model. The record is from RNAcentral.
GAUGAAGAACGUAGCGAAAUGCGAUAAGUAAUGCGAAUUGCAGAAUUCAGUGAAUCAUCGAAUCUUUGAACGCACAUUGCGCCCGCCAGUAUUCUGGCGGGCAUGCCUGUUCGAGCGUCAUUUCAACCAUCAAGCCUUCGCUUGUGUUGGGGCCCCGCGGCUGCCGCGGCCCCCUAAAUCCAGUGGCGGGCUCGUCGUCGUACCGAGCGCAGUAGACAUCCUCGCUCCGGGAACCCGACGGGUGCCGGCCGUGAAACCCCCCCCAUCAAGGUUGACCUCGGAUCAGGUAGGAAUACCCGCUGAACUUAAGCAUAUCAAUAAGCGGAGGA